GAGCGCAAGCGACGUUCAACCUCAAAAGAAGCAGAGGGGGCUUAGUGGUGGGGUGACUGCGUACCUUUUGUAUAAUGGGUCAGCGACUUAUAUUCUGUAGCAAGGUUAACCGUAUAGGGGAGCCGGAGGGAAACCGAGUCUUAACCGGGCGUUAAGUUGCAGGGUAUAGACCCGAAACCCGGUGAUCUAGCCAUGGGCAGGUUGAAGGUUGGGUAACACUAACUGGAGGACCGAACCGACUAAUGUUGAAAAAUUAGCGGAUGACCUGUGGCUGGGGGUGAAAGGCCAAUCAAACCGGGAGAUAGCUGGUUCUCCCCGAAAGCUAUUUAGGUAGCGCCUCGUGAAUUCAUCUCCGGGGGUAGAGCACUGUUUCGGCUAGGGGGCCAUCCCGGCUUACCAACCCGAUGCAAACUGCGAAUACCGGAGAAUGUUAUCACGGGAGACACACGGCGGGUGCUAACGUCCGUCGUGAAGAGGGAAACAACCCAGACCGCCAGCUAAGGUCCCAAAGUCAUGGUUAAGUGGGAAACGAUGUGGGAAGGCCCAGACAGCCAGGAUGUUGGCUUAGAAGCAGCCAUCAUUUAAAGAAAGCGUAAUAGCUCACUGGUCGAGUCGGCCUGCGCGGAAGAUGUAACGGGGCUAAACCAUGCACCGAAGCUGCGGCAGCGACACUCAGGUGUUGUUGGGUAGGGGAGCGUUCUGUAAGCCUGCGAAGGUGGCCUGUGAGGGUUGCUGGAGGUAUCAGAAGUGCGAAUGCUGACAUAAGUAACGAUAAAGCGGGUGAAAAGCCCGCUCGCCGGAAGACCAAGGGUUCCUGUCCAACGUUAAUCGGGGCAGGGUGAGUCGACCCCUAAGGCGAGGCCGAAAGGCGUAGUCGAUGGGAAACGGGUUAAUAUUCCCGUACUUGGUGUUACUGCGAAGGGGGGACGGAGAAGGCUAUGUUGGCCGGGCGACGGUUGUCCCGGUUUAAGCGUGUAGGUGUGUGUUCCAGGUAAAUCCGGUUCACUUUAACACUGAGGCGUGACGACGAGGCACUACGGUGCUGAAGCAACAAAUGCCCUGCUUCCAGGAAAAGCCUCUAAGCAUCAGGUAACAUCAAAUCGUACCCCAAACCGACACAGGUGGUCAGGUAGAGAAUACCAAGGCGCUUGAGAGAACUCGGGUGAAGGAACUAGGCAAAAUGGUGCCGUAACUUCGGGAGAAGGCACGCUGACAUGUAGGUGAAGUGAUUUACUCAUGGAGCUGAAGUCAGUCGAAGAUACCAGCUGGCUGCAACUGUUUAUUAAAAACACAGCACUGUGCAAACACGAAAGUGGACGUAUACGGUGUGACGCCUGCCCGGUGCCGGAAGGUUAAUUGAUGGGGUCAGCGCAAGCGAAGCUCCUGAUCGAAGCCCCGGUAAACGGCGGCCGUAACUAUAACGGUCCUAAGGUAGCGAAAUUCCUUGUCGGGUAAGUUCCGACCUGCACGAAUGGCGUAAUGAUGGCCAGGCUGUCUCCACCCGAGACUCAGUGAAAUUGAACUCGCUGUGAAGAUGCAGUGUACCCGCGGCAAGACGGAAAGACCCCGUGAACCUUUACUAUAGCUUGACACUGAACAUUGAGCCUUGAUGUGUAGGAUAGGUGGGAGGCUUUGAAGUGUGGACGCCAGUCUGCAUGGAGCCGACCUUGAAAUACCACCCUUUAAUGUUUGAUGUUCUAACGUGGACCCGUGAUCCGGGUUGCGGACAGUGUCUGGUGGGUAGUUUGACUGGGGCGGUCUCCUCCUAAAGAGUAACGGAGGAGCACGAAGGUUGGCUAAUCCUGGUCGGACAUCAGGAGGUUAGUGCAAUGGCAUAAGCCAGCUUGACUGCGAGCGUGACGGCGCGAGCAGGUGCGAAAGCAGGUCAUAGUGAUCCGGUGGUUCUGAAUGGAAGGGCCAUCGCUCAACGGAUAAAAGGUACUCCGGGGAUAACAGGCUGAUACCGCCCAAGAGUUCAUAUCGACGGCGGUGUUUGGCACCUCGAUGUCGGCUCAUCACAUCCUGGGGCUGAAGUAGGUCCCAAGGGUAUGGCUGUUCGCCAUUUAAAGUGGUACGCGAGCUGGGUUUAGAACGUCGUGAGACAGUUCGGUCCCUAUCUGCCGUGGGCGCUGGAGAACUGAGGGGGGCUGCUCCUAGUACGAGAGGACCGGAGUGGACGCAUCACUGGUGUUCGGGUUGUCAUGCCAAUGGCACUGCCCGGUAGCUAAAUGCGGAAGAGAUAAGUGCUGAAAGCAUCUAAGCACGAAACUUGCCCCGAGA
RNAcentral lists this ribosomal RNA (2280 nucleotides) under Salmonella enterica subsp. enterica serovar Panama. RNAcentral's name for it is "partial 23S ribosomal RNA". It matches the Rfam family "Bacterial large subunit ribosomal RNA". Lineage: Bacteria; Pseudomonadati; Pseudomonadota; Gammaproteobacteria; Enterobacterales; Enterobacteriaceae. The record is from RNAcentral.